UACGGAGGGUGCAAGCGUUAUCCGGAUUUAUUGGGCUUAAAGGGUGCGUAGGCGGCUAUUUAAGUCAGCGGUGAAAUCCUGCAGCUCAACUGUAGAACAGCCAUUGAAACUGAAUAGCUUGAGUAAUCUUGAGGUAGGCGGAAUGUGUAGUGUAGCGGUGAAAUGCUUAGAUAUUACACAGAACACCGAUUGCGAAGGCAGCUUACUGAGGAUUCACUGACGCUGAUGCACGAAAGCGUGGGGAUCAAACAGG
This 253-nucleotide ribosomal RNA is filed under the name uncultured bacterium. RNAcentral describes it as "partial 16S ribosomal RNA". It matches the Rfam family "Bacterial small subunit ribosomal RNA", at positions 524 to 776 of the family's 1533-position model. The record is from RNAcentral.